RNAcentral lists this small nucleolar RNA (63 nucleotides) under Choloepus hoffmanni (Hoffmann's two-fingered sloth). Its description in RNAcentral is "Small nucleolar RNA SNORD112 (ENSCHOG00000015691.1)". Lineage: Eukaryota; Metazoa; Chordata; Mammalia; Pilosa; Megalonychidae. The record is from RNAcentral.
UGGACAAAGAAAGUGUGUCAGAACCAAGGAUCAUGAUUAAUCAAGUCUAUGUACCUGACCUGU